CCCUUAGAUGUUCUGGGCCGCACGCGCGCUACACUGAUGCAUUCAACGAGCCUAUCCUUGACCGACAGGUCCGGGUAAUCUUUGAAUCUGCAUCGUGACGGGGAUAGAUUAUUGCAAUUAUUAAUCUUCAACGAGGAAUGCCUAGUAGGCGCAAGUCAUCAACUUGCGUUGAUUACGUCCCUGCCCUUUGUACACACCGCCCGUCGCUACUACCGAUUGAAUGGUUUAGUGAGGCCUUCGGAUCCGCGAUUUUAUUGUGGAGAAGUUGGACAAACUCAGUCAUUUAGAGGAAGUAAAAGUCGUAACA
Molecule: ribosomal RNA, 307 nt
Filed under: uncultured eukaryote
Lineage: Eukaryota
Description: partial 18S ribosomal RNA
Rfam family: Eukaryotic small subunit ribosomal RNA
Source: RNAcentral